ACGGUCCUACGGGGCGCAGCAGUCGAGAAUCAUUCACAAUGGGGGAAACCCUGAUGGUGCGACGCCGCGUGGGGGAAUGAAGGUCUUCGGAUUGUAAACCCCUGUCAUGUGGGAGCAAAUUAAAAAGAUAGUACCACAAGAGGAAGAGACGGCUAACUCUGUGCCAGCAGCCGCGGUAAUACAGAGGUCUCAAGCGUUGUUCGGCAUCACUGGGCGUAAAGCGUGCGUCGGCUGUUUCGUAAGUCGUGUGUGAAAGUCGCGGGCUCAACCCGCGGACGGCACAUGAUACUGCGAG
RNAcentral lists this ribosomal RNA (295 nucleotides) under uncultured bacterium. Its description in RNAcentral is "partial 16S ribosomal RNA". It matches the Rfam family "Bacterial small subunit ribosomal RNA", at positions 333 to 639 of the family's 1533-position model. The record is from RNAcentral.